AACGAACGCUGGCGGCAUGCCUAACACAUGCAAGUCGAACGAGACCUUCGGGUCUAGUGGCGCACGGGUGCGUAACGCGUGGGAACCUGCCCUUAGGUUCGGAAUAACUCCCCGAAAGGGGUGCUAAUACCGGAUAAUGUCUUCGGACCAAAGAUUGAUCGCCUUUGGAUGGGCCCGCGUUGGAUUAGCUAGUUGGUAGGGUAAAAGCCUACCACGGCGACGAUCCAUAGCUGGUCUGAGAGGAUGAUCAGCCACACUGGGAGUGAGACACGGCCCAGACUCCUACGGGAGGCAGCAGUGGGGAAUAUUGGACAAUGGGCUGAAGGCUGAUCCAGCAAUGCCGCGUGAGUGAUGAAGGCCUUAAGGUUGUAAAGCUCUUUUACCCGGGAUGAUAAUGACAGUACCGGGAGAAUAAGCACCGGCUAACUCCGUG
This 433-nucleotide ribosomal RNA is filed under the name uncultured bacterium. RNAcentral describes it as "partial 16S ribosomal RNA". It matches the Rfam family "Bacterial small subunit ribosomal RNA", at positions 29 to 507 of the family's 1533-position model. The record is from RNAcentral.